Molecule: ribosomal RNA, 253 nt
Filed under: uncultured bacterium
Lineage: Bacteria
Description: partial 16S ribosomal RNA
Rfam family: Bacterial small subunit ribosomal RNA
Source: RNAcentral
UACGUAGGUGGCAAGCGUUGUCCGGAUUUAUUGGGUUUAAAGGGUGCGUAGGCGGUCUUAUAAGUCAGUGCUGAAAUAUCCCGGCUUAACCGGGAGGGUGGCAUUGAUACUGUAGGACUUGAGUAAAGUUGAGGUUGGCGGAAUUGACGGUGUAGCAGUGAAAUGCGUAGAUAUCGUAAGGAAGACCAGUGGCGAAGGCGAGUCUCUGGACAGUUACUGACACUGAGGCACGAAGGCCAGGGGAGCAAACGGG